Molecule: non-coding RNA, 84 nt
Organism: Ceratobasidium sp. 414
Lineage: Eukaryota; Fungi; Basidiomycota; Agaricomycetes; Cantharellales; Ceratobasidiaceae
Source: the annotation of a GenBank genome assembly
GGCUGUAUAGUGUAGUGGUUUAGCACUCGGGAUUUUGAUAUCUAUCGUCUUCCCGCAACCCCAGUUCGAACCUGGGUACGGCCU